GGACGAACGCUGGCGGCGUGCCUAACACAUGCAAGUCGAACGAGGUCCAAGGAAGCUUGCUUCCUGAAGACCUAGUGGCGAACGGGUGAGUAACACGUGAGAAACCUGCCUCGGAGUGGGGAAUAACUCGGGGAAACUCGAGCUAAUACCGCAUACCUUCACAUGAUCGCAUGGUCGAGUGAAGAAAGAAUUUCGCUCUGAGAGGGUCUCGCGGCCUAUCAGCUUGUUGGUGGGGUAACGGCCUACCAAGGCAACGACGGGUAGCUGGUUUGAGAGAACGAUCAGCCACACUGGGACUGAGACACGGCCCAGACUCCUACGGGAGGCAGCAGUGGGGAAUCUUGCGCAAUGGGCGAAAGCCUGACGCAGCAACGCCGCGUGCGGGAUGACGGCCUUCGUGGUUGUAAACCGCUUUCAGCAGGGACGAAAAUGACGGUACCUGCAGAAGAAGCCCCGGCUAACUACGUG
Molecule: ribosomal RNA, 468 nt
Filed under: uncultured bacterium
Lineage: Bacteria
Description: bacterial SSU rRNA
Rfam family: Bacterial small subunit ribosomal RNA
Source: RNAcentral